RNAcentral lists this ribosomal RNA (361 nucleotides) under Shouchella clausii. Its description in RNAcentral is "bacterial SSU rRNA". It matches the Rfam family "Bacterial small subunit ribosomal RNA", at positions 1 to 352 of the family's 1533-position model. The record is from RNAcentral. Lineage: Bacteria; Bacillati; Bacillota; Bacilli; Caryophanales; Bacillaceae.
UUAACGGAGAGUUUGAUCCUGGCUCAGGACGAACGCUGGCGGCGUGCCUAAUACAUGCAAGUCGAGCGGACAGAAGGGAGCUUGCUCCCGGACGUUAGCGGCGGACGGGUGAGUAACACGUGGGCAACCUGCCCCUUAGACUGGGAUAACUCCGGGAAACCGGAGCUAAUACCGGAUAAUCCCUUUCUCCACCUGGAGAGAGGGUGAAAGAUGGCUUCGGCUAUCACUAGGGGAUGGGCCCGCGGCGCAUUAGCUAGUUGGUAAGGUAACGGCUUACCAAGGCAACGAUGCGUAGCCGACCUGAGAGGGUGAUCGGCCACACUGGGACUGAGACACGGCCCAGACUCCUACGGGAGGCAGC